Molecule: non-coding RNA, 2775 nt
Organism: Xyrichtys novacula (pearly razorfish)
Lineage: Eukaryota; Metazoa; Chordata; Actinopteri; Labriformes; Labridae
Source: the annotation of a GenBank genome assembly
CUUGAAUCCUGACUCUGGAGUCACUGAGUCCAGGUUUCAGACAACCUCCUCAAGUAAUGCCGGAUCACACUGAUGUGUUUUUACAUUGAAUUUCAUCCAAUGCAGCCGCCUAGACCAGCUGUGUCAUUGCUCAUGUCUCACUCAUGCUAUGCUUCUGCAACCUGAGAGCUUUUUCGACACUCUGUUUUCUCACUUACACAGACAGAUAUGCUUGUACAUCGGGCUGUGAGCUUUGUCAAACACGCCGUGAGUGCACAGCAGCGCUGGCGCCGAAACACAUCCAGUGCAGACGCUGACAGAGGACAGCAGCUGCUGCUAUUGUGCCGCUGACGUGCUGCUUCCGCUGCAUAGCCAGCUACGACAAGGUGAUUGGACCAAAUACCAAUUAAACCCAGGCAGCGCACGACACUUUGUGUCCAACUCAAGUGCACAGCAGCUCCACACACUAUUGUUAAACUCUGGCUGCUCGACAGCUCGUGUGUGGUUCCUUCAGUGUGUCAAGACGGUCUGGGAGAAUAGAAAGCAAACAAAGGCUUGAGUUUCACAAAGACACCAACACUGGGUUGUUAUGUUCUACCUUUCUGAUAUUUAAGCUUGAAAUAUAUCUCUCUUUAUCUCAUAGCUAUUCGAUUUAGUCCUGACCUUGACCGCACACCGGAUACUAUAACAGGAUUUCACAGCAGGAGAUCUGCAACACUUACGCUUGUCUACCAUGAGUCUUGCUGUGAGAUUAAGUUCGAGUGGAAUAACAUCUUUUUUACAGCUGAAAUGUAGAUACUCCUCUGGAGAUUUUGGAGAAAACAAACUACAUUGAAUAUCCAUUACUGUUUUAUGUUUCAUGUCACUUUUUCCACCCAAAAAAACAGAACCGGUCCAGAAAGUAUUAGAGUCCCACCUCUAUUGUUUUUUUCUCUUUUAUUUUUUUUACUACAUUUCAUGUUCAGGUUGUGAUUUUGAAGUUUUUCACCAAAAUCGCAUUACCUGCAUCAUUUUCAAGGACUUUUCUUCUGCAGAGCUCCUGUAGCUCAUUAGCGAUUCUCCUCUGAGUCCUGGGCGGAGACCGCGCUGCUCUGCACACUCCUAUUCACACUAGCUUGCAGCCUAACAUUGCGGAAGUAGUCAGACACUAACAUCUUUGGGGACAUGAUGAAAGUUAAUGUCAUAAUUAGCUUUCCUACGAGCAUUGCAAUUGGCUAACGUAGGGUGACCAUAUUCUGAAUCCCCAAAAAGAGGACACUACGACGCAGGGCGGAGUCACAGAGUCAUGGGUAGUAAAUUUUGAAUUUUUCGGGUUUGGUCAAGUGAUUUUUACAUGCUUGUAACUCAGUUAGUUACAGCAACACAAACUCGAAACUUCAAAACGAAACUCCGGACAUUUGGAGGAUUUGAUAAACUCCCCCAGACAAGGCCGGACAAGGCCGGACAGCCCUCCCCAAAAAAAGGACAUGUCUAGGUAAAAGAGGACAUACGGUCACCCUAGCUAAUGCACACGCUUGUUCCAUGAUUGUCCUUUCUACUUCUCCAAGUCUGGCCUGCAGAGCGAGGCUCCAGGGGCGGAGUUUGGAGUUGUGACAUAGGAAAUCUCACUGUAUCUGAAUCUGCUGUUUGUCUACCAGAGGCUCAAAACGAUUAAAAGGAAAAAUACUCUGAAAUGCAGUUUUACACUUAGUUUUCUCUUGAUAUGUCCUGUAGCAUCAAAAAAAUGCCAAAUAAACACGUAGACAACAAGAAAAACAUGAUUUUUAUUGGAGUUGGUCUUUAACAAAAGACUUGGCUGACAGGAGGUAAAGCUAAGAUCUGUUUUGGGGAGACACAGCACUGGUUCAACAAUGAAAUCUGGAUGUAAAAGAUUUAUCUGACAACAGCAUGACUGCAGCAUAACUCACACUGGACCGAACAUAAAGCUGUCUUUUCUGGGCAAAGUUGUCAUCGCCUGUCAGCUUGAUGAGGACUGAGACAAGCUGGUAAACAAAAAACAGGCACUCACCGCCAAGGGCGAGAAAGAGAGAACGGUAAAAACAGUUAUCCGACUUCAAGCACCACCCUGUUGUGUUAAAGUGUUGGGCUGUAACUUGGUGUCUUAUAUCUAAUGGUGCUUUCGCAGCUGUUACAGCUCUAAUGCGUUUGCUAACCCGCCCACCUAAUCUAACCAGCGGUUCUGUUUGACGUCUAAAGAGGCUGUAACUUCUUUUUUCUCUUUUUAUUAAUUACACUAAUGUCCUCAGACUUUUUAUUAGCGUUAAACGGAUUCAUAAACAUGUCCGGUCAGAGAUUUAAUGCUCCUGGACCUCUGCGAUUCAGGUCAAAGAUUCAAUCUGCAUUAUUAAUGUCAGGUGUAAGACGCCAUCUCUAAUCGGUUAACAUGCACAUGUGCCGCAGUGACACCGCAAAGGGAAGCCAAGCACCUGUGAAGGUUAACAGUCAUCACCUCAAUUUGUCUGCUCCUCCUAUCAGCCUCAUCUCGUGUCAAAAGCUUUGCUGUACAUGGAUGAGUAGUGUUUGAUGAGAUGUGUGAGUGGGGAGGAUGUAUUACCAAAUGUCAGCACGUCUUUUCCCGGAUACAGCCAUGUCAAUUACGUAGCGGGGCGGGGGGAUGAGUGCCUCGCCUCGCCGUCUGAAAAGUGCAGGCCUGUUCGAAUCAGACAACCAAUCAGACUUUGUUACGCCUUUGAGGUCACUUCAUGGCCGAAUAGGAUCUCACAGCUGGUUGGCAAACCCACCCAUGGUCGGUCUUUGUACAGAGAAGAUGACAAAACAAGAGGCUGGAGAAAAAGC